Molecule: long non-coding RNA, 890 nt
Organism: Raphanus sativus (radish)
Lineage: Eukaryota; Viridiplantae; Streptophyta; Magnoliopsida; Brassicales; Brassicaceae
Exons: 2
Source: RefSeq, a predicted model, not a curated record
AUGUGCAGACCUUCAAGUAGGUCGGUGAGAGUCACGUGCAGGUCGCGUGAUAGUAUUUUUCAAUAUACACGCGUCAAGUAGUGAAUGGUCUGUUAUCAUCAUUAAUAGUAAAUACACAUCAAAGGAGGGGUAAGGUAUUUCGAUAUUUGAUAGAGAGGAAGCCGAAGAUGGAGAGCUGAAAAAAAAAGUUUAUCGGCGGGCUCGGAUUCGCUUGGUGCAGGUCGGGAACUGAUUGGCUGACACCGCCACGUGAAUUUUCACGGUUGGCUUGUGAGCAGGGAUCGGAUCCUGCCUUCCAUCAACUGAAUCGGAGCCCGAGGUGAAAAGUAGGAAAUACAGAGUUUCCAACUUUCAGAUCUGACCUUGUGUAGGUUCGUGUAAGUUUUUGUUAAAAAGUCUUGUGUAAUUUUUUUGAUUCUGUAUUUAGUUCUAGAAAUUUCAUUCUUUGUUUCUCAAAAAUUCAAUAUUUUGUUAAUAGUUUUGAAGCAGGGUGCUACUCGAUUGGCUAAUUAAAUUAGAUGUGUGUGAUGCCCCCACUCUGUUUUUAAAGGUUGUAGAUUUUGAUGUAGAAAAUCUGUAAACCCCAAUUAGUGCUUUAAGGGGGUUUUGAGAAUUUAUAGGGUUUUACAUUGGCUUAGGUUUGGUGAUAAUGAGACUCAGCGUGAUCAAUUCAACUCCUUGAUUGAAGAGACGUGGAGCAAGCUGAUAUGGAAGAAAUUAAGACUCGCAUGAAUAGUUCUAAAAGCUAAUUAAAAAAGUGGAUAAGAUUUAGACCUAAGAAAUUGCAAAACAAAAUUGUUUAAGUUAGUUUAUCAUCAACUAGUUUAUACUAUAGUAGUGUGUAUUGAAGUUUCAAAGUCAAAACAACUUCUAUUUGCUCGGUUUUGAUU